AUGACCGGGCAGCUACCCGAGGACAUGCUCCUGGACGUCCUCCGCCGCCUCUCUCCCCGCAGCCUCGCGGCAUGCCGCUGCGUCCGUAAGGAAUGGCGCGUCGCCGUCGACUGCCACCGCCUACUGCGCAUGGACCUUCUCCCGCUCUCGCUCGACGGCGUCUUCCUCGAGCUGCAUGACCCAGACCUGCCUCUCGAGAGAAUGGAGCAUCCCAUGCCUGCGCUCUUCUCACGCCGCACCAUGGCACGCCGGAUCGCCGCCAGCCUUGGCUACUCGGAGCGGACACCCCCUCCAUAUAUGAGUGCGGCAUGCAGGACUGCUGCAACGGGCUCCUCCUCUUGCUCUGCGACCAUGUGGUCAAUCCCGCCACCACUACAAGAAAUAUGUCAACUUGUGACCACCACUAUUGGUCACUGA
This 417-nucleotide ribosomal RNA is filed under the name Triticum aestivum (bread wheat). RNAcentral describes it as "partial small subunit ribosomal RNA". The record is from RNAcentral. Lineage: Eukaryota; Viridiplantae; Streptophyta; Magnoliopsida; Poales; Poaceae.